CCUACGGGAGGCAGCAGUGGGGGAUAUUGCACAAUGGGGGGAACCCUGAUGCAGCGACGCCGCGUGGGUGAAGGAGCGUUUCGGCGCGUAAAGCCCUAUCGGCAGGGAAGAAGAAGGACGGUACCGGACUAAGAAGCCCCGGCUAACUACGUGCCAGCAGCCGCGGUAAAACGUAGGGGGCAAGCGUUAUCCGGAUUUACUGGGUGUAAAGGGGGCGCAGACGGCAGUGCAAGCCAGGAGUGAAAGCCCGGGGCCCAACCCCGGGACUGCUCUUGGAACUGCUCGGCUGGAGUGCAGGAGGGGCAGGCGGAAUUCCUGGUGUAGCGGUGAUAUGCGUAGAUAUUAGGAGGAACACCGGUGGCGAAGGCGGCCUACUGGACUGCGACUGACGUUGAGGCCCGAAAGCGUGGGGAGCAAACAGGAUUAGAUACCCUUGUAGUC
RNAcentral lists this ribosomal RNA (441 nucleotides) under uncultured bacterium. RNAcentral describes it as "partial 16S ribosomal RNA". It matches the Rfam family "Bacterial small subunit ribosomal RNA", at positions 338 to 795 of the family's 1533-position model. The record is from RNAcentral.